RNAcentral lists this small nuclear RNA (137 nucleotides) under Carlito syrichta (Philippine tarsier). Its description in RNAcentral is "U4 spliceosomal RNA (ENSTSYG00000021093.2)". It matches the Rfam family "U4 spliceosomal RNA". From Rfam's summary of the family: U4 small nuclear RNA (U4 snRNA) is a component of the major U2-dependent spliceosome. The structure of U4 snRNA from yeast and human has been reported. U4 snRNA presents a k-turn RNA motif in the 5p-SL related to recognition of Snu13 protein. The record is from Rfam by way of RNAcentral. Lineage: Eukaryota; Metazoa; Chordata; Mammalia; Primates; Tarsiidae.
AGCUUUGUGCAGUGGCAAUAUCCUAUCCAAUGAAGUUUAUCAGAGGUGUGAUUAUUGCUAAUUGAAAACUUUUCCCAACACCCCGCCAUGAUGACUUGAAAUAUAGUCAGCAUUGGCAAUUUUUUUUUUAGUCGAAA